Molecule: long non-coding RNA, 4315 nt
Organism: Petromyzon marinus (sea lamprey)
Lineage: Eukaryota; Metazoa; Chordata; Hyperoartia; Petromyzontiformes; Petromyzontidae
Source: RefSeq, a predicted model, not a curated record
GCGCGCUGCACAUCGAGCAAGAGACGGUGUGGACAUUCAUCCAGUGCGCUUAGGCUCAUCUGAGCGCGCGCGCACAACACACGGACGCCGCGCCUCCGGGAACACGGGGCGAGUCAAACAGCACCGUUCGCCGUGCGUCACUAUAAUAAAUCCGCCAAACUCUCGCCCGUCAGCUAUUUAUUGCUGACGGCACGUGGCCGUUUUUUUGUGGACUAACGCAAGCAAAGCCGUAUGCACGCGCACUGUAUGCGUUAUAUUUUAAUUGCCAUGCGCCGUGCGUCGUGCGGACGUCGCGUGCGUUAGAGGCAGCGGCACGGAGAUCAUCAUCAUCAUCAUCAUCGCGGGUGCUACGCGGUCGCUGGGUGGAAAUAAAUGUCUGCGAUUUCACCAAUUAUGCCCGUGCCCGCUGCGCUACACGUGCCUUUCGAAUGAGAGGUAAAUGAUAAGUCAAGAAUCGCCAGACGAGAAAAUCAAGAUCAGGCUAAGGUGUGUUGCGUGUGCGGUUUUUUUGUUGUUGUUGUCUCUUAUUUUAAGAUAGGAAGGAAAUGUCUCGCUGAGUUGAGAGGCGCAAUUUAACAGAGCAAUCGACCCGAGCGAUGGUCAUGACGUUAGUGAUGAUGAUGAUGAUAAUUGUAACGCGAACCGUGCGCUCCAUCCAACACGGAGAGACAAUCUCAUGAAUGUCAAGGAUAGCGAUUAAAAACACUCACACGCGCCGACGAAAAGAGAGGAAAACCCCAUCAGCGAAGCGGGAGCGAACGCCCCCAUUCUCCCCAUCGUCUGCAACAAGAAGAUGUUAGACACAUCCAUGUCUGGAGGCGCAUUAUGCGGUAUCCAUUGGGACAUCUUGCAGAGCCGUACGACCGUUGCCGCUCGAGAACGGCCCCACUGAAAUUGAUAUCAUAGAGCUGCCUCUGAGAUCUCUUCAAGUGACCUCUGAUCCAAAAUGGAGGGUGGAAGCACUUUCCCACCCACCCAGAACCGUGUUCAUCAUUUGACAUUCAAAUGAGUAUUUUUUAGUGUGGAAUUUAGCUCAAUUGGACGAUGGUUUGGUGUGUGUAGUGAUUGGUGAUGUAGCGGAGACCAUCAACUUGCUAUGCUUGAGAACAAAGGUGGAUGCCUACAUUCGAACCCAUGAGCUCAGCAGUGCCAGAUCAGUGCUCUGGCAUUUGAACCACCUGGACCACCUGAAUUUUCCAGUAUUAACGAUUUUAUAUCACAACACAUCAAACUAAUAAUAUGAAUGUAUACAUGUGUGUGUGUGUGUGGAUUGAUUGAGGAAUGGUGGUGCAGCGGUUAGCAUGCUGUACAUACUGUACCAUGAUCCGGCGAAUGAUCCGGCGAAUCUGGGAGGUUUUCCUUGGCCGUGCAAAAAUACCAAAAAAAUGUAAUCUCAUCAUAGGCUGGGGAAUUCCCUACAUCAGUUCAAUCCACAAUGGCUACUUUCGUAGAGUGUGUGAACAUCAGCGCUGUGGAGACAAAGGUGGAUAGGCGUGUAAUGUUGGCCUCACCAACUCUCCCGCUUGGUGUUGUCGAUCUUAAUAGGUGCUGACAAGCGGCAUUUGCUCUCACUGCUCGCAGCACAAUGGGCAUUUGUACAUGUGCUAAUUGACACAACAAAACUAAAUACGAUUUCUGGGGGAUUGUUUUUUGUUUGCGGAAAAUGUAUGGCUGUGCUUAUGCAUGUUUUGCCAUGACUGCAGCUCCUUUCUUAAGAAUAUGGCGUAUCAGCUAACUCGGGGUUCCAGGGAAAUAGCUGGCAGCAUGAUUGCAAUGAUGGUUGCCUGCUCUUGCUCAUUAUUGCCCCAUUUGAUGGCAACUCUGGGUUUUUCUGCCUGCACUGCCAAUUUGCGCUUCAAGUACGGGGAAUCAUUAUUUUAUGACUACACGAUCGUAUGCUUUACCGUGUCUAAAUGGUGUUUGUUUCCAAGUAAAAAUUUUAUGGUUGACGAAGAUAUAAUUAAUACAUGCAGGUGUAUGUUGUUAGUUGCUCGCAAGUUUUUUUGCUUUAGAUAUUAAAGCUUGAAGUGGUACACAUCCCAUUGCUCGGGGUCUGAUUCAUGUCGCAAUUUCGGCCAUAAUUCCGCCACAUUCCUGUGUUUAUUCGUUUAAACAUUUUCUUUUAAUUCAAGUGCAGCCACUUCCGCGUAAAAUAUACAACCGUUCAGCCGCAACCUAUACCACAUCUUGCGGGAAUGACAAAACGCUGGUCGGGUUAGAACGGACGCACACGCACGCGCGUUGGUGUGCCCACGUGCGGAAGCAGCCAGAAGCCUGGGGAAUGGUUGGCUCAGGACAUUGGCAGGACCAGCCCGCGCAUGUCGGCAAGUGCGGCUCCGAAUCUUGGCAGCGCUCGCGCGUCGCAUCGGACCUAAUGAAUUAAGCGAGAUUUGCUUGUACAUAAACGUGUGAAAACAAACUCUACGUGAAUCGAGCCCUGCGUGUGUGGUCAACGGUGGCAUUUGCGCCACAUUUGUCAGUGGCUCUGCUGAUUGGAGAUCUGACGAGCAGUGUACCUUUUGAUUUAAAGCUUUCGUGACUGCGGGGAUUCAUAUUCUUGGUUCUUUCGGUAAAGUCACCACGUAGAGGGGAAACAAUAAAAUAAUAAAACCAUAAAACAAUAAAAUUCUCACGACGUUUCGACUGCAACACACGCAAUCAUCAUUAUUGUUCCCUUCUACGUGACUUUACCGAAAGAACCAAGAAUAAGCUGUAUACCGUUAUUUAAUGUAACCCAUGCUAUUUUUCCACCCGUGAAAUUGCAUUCCAUUUGUGAAACAACUUACAGCUGUGGUUGUGUACGAAGUCUUUUUUUUGCUGCCUUCUAACCAACAUUUUAAAAUGGUCACGUGAUAACGCCUCUGGGCUAUAGGUCAGUUUAAGAUGUGCCAAAUUCUUUGUUGAGAAGCAUCACCGUACCGUUCGAUGAUCAAAUAUUUUGUGUGUCAGUUUUCGGUGACCUUUGAGAAUGUUGCUUGUUAAAUGUUUGUUGUAAUAGGCAUUGUUUUACAAGUGUUUCCCGGAAACUUAGAAUGAUGCAGUUUUGUGUUUAGUAUUGAUUUUCAAAGUGCAAACACUAAAAUCCUGCACUUAUGUGUCAAUUACAGCGUUAAAAGUAAAGAAACUUAACCCAAAAUAAUAUAUAAACAGUGGUAAAGCAACAUGAGGACAUUUUGUUAACUAAUUCAUCAACAAGUGUAUGUGUUAAAGAUGAAAUGUGGAAACGUUUCAUUUAAUAAUAAUAAAAAUAAUGUAUGAUUAAAAAUGCAACCAUAAUUAUUUUUUAGCAGAUAUACUGUACUCAGUUACAACUACUGCAUAUUGUGCAAUUAAAGGAGAGGUUAUUCGGAAUAGGUUUUUAAUUUGCAAUGUAUGACAUUGAUAGGGUUUCUAACACGUGUAAUGUGCUGUUUGAACCUAAGUCACAAUGCAUAGCGGGUUGUAAUGCAAUGAACGUGCAGCGCUGAAUUGAAAGUGAUGUGAAUGUGUACAGGCAGGCGUACUCCUUUAAGAGUAGAUGAUGCCACAUUUGAGAACCACGAGUGUAACUAAAACACAUGUAUACUUAAUCUAUUGCCCGAGGCAUGUCUUUUUGUAAAAUGCAAAUUUUUCGAGGGAUGCUUAUUCGCUGGCCUAAAUUCAAGAAACCCAGGUGUGAGGGCUGUAACUUUUGAUUGAGCGAUUAGGUUUUGUUAUUUCGAAUAGGGCCCUGCAGCUGAAGGAAAGUCACUCGAGGCAACUGUCUGCUAGAGGCCAGCAUUGUAAUUUACCUGUGCUUAAUUCAUGCGUCGGGGGAAGGCAGGGGUGGGGGGGGGUGUCUGCUAUAAUAAUCCUGUGUGCAAUGUACACUUUUUGGGCCCAUACAAUCACAACAAGGGCACUAAUAUUGCUUGUCUCCUGCGACCGCGGUGCAAAUCCUUGAAGGUGAAGGAGUGGACCGCUUCAGCGACCGCUCCCCCGGCACCGUUUCCAGUUGUGCUCACCACAGGGAAUUUUGGCACGCCGCGAAUUAGAAAUGGACGAGACAAAAGUAAUCAAAAUAUUAAGUUUGCUUGCAUUACAAAUUAUGUGCAUUAUCCGAGGCCAUAGGGCUCGGCACCCAAGUAGAAUAUUCGCACUUCAUAAUCACCAAUUUAAACUGCGGUUCCAUCCCUUGUGUUACGUCGUUAACUGACUUUCUCAAAGGAACCACUGUCGGUCAGAAUGGAUGUUAACGAUGGACUCUCAUUUGUGGGGGGUAUUAAGUAUUACUCUUUGGUUCUAUUCGGUAAAGUCACGUAGGUAAAAAAAUAAAACAACAAAAAAUCACGACGUU